GAGGAUAGAGCUCAGUGGUAGAGCUCUUGCUUAGCAUGCACAAGGUCCUGGGUUUAACUCCCAGUACCUCCC
Molecule: transfer RNA, 72 nt
Filed under: Camelus ferus (Wild Bactrian camel)
Lineage: Eukaryota; Metazoa; Chordata; Mammalia; Artiodactyla; Camelidae
Rfam family: tRNA
About the family: Transfer RNA (tRNA) molecules are approximately 80 nucleotides in length.
Source: Rfam by way of RNAcentral